UACGUAGGGUGCGAGCGUUAAUCGGAAUUACUGGGCGUAAAGCGUGCGCAGGCGGUUCGUCGUGUCCGAUGUGGAAGCCCCGGGCUCAACCUGGGAAUGGCAUUGGAAACUGGCGGACUCGAGUGUGGCAGAGGGGGGUGGAAUUCCGCGUGUAGCAGUGAAAUGCGUAGAGAUGCGGAGGAACACCGAUGGCGAAGGCAGCCCCCUGGGCUAACACUGACGCUCAGGCACGAAAGCGUGGGGAGCAAACAGG
RNAcentral lists this ribosomal RNA (253 nucleotides) under uncultured bacterium. RNAcentral describes it as "partial 16S ribosomal RNA". It matches the Rfam family "Bacterial small subunit ribosomal RNA", at positions 524 to 776 of the family's 1533-position model. The record is from RNAcentral.